RNAcentral lists this ribosomal RNA (481 nucleotides) under Streptococcus sp. oral taxon 066. RNAcentral describes it as "bacterial SSU rRNA". It matches the Rfam family "Bacterial small subunit ribosomal RNA", at positions 28 to 493 of the family's 1533-position model. The record is from RNAcentral. Lineage: Bacteria; Bacillati; Bacillota; Bacilli; Lactobacillales; Streptococcaceae.
GAUGAACGCUGGCGGCGUGCCUAAUACAUGCAAGUAGAACGCUGAAGCUUGGUGCUUGCACCGAGCGGAUGAGUUGCGAACGGGUGAGUAACGCGUAGGUAACCUGCCUGGUAGCGGGGGAUAACUAUUGGAAACGAUAGCUAAUACCGCAUAACAGUAGAUGUUGCAUGACAACUAUUUGAAAGGGGCAAUUGCUCCACUACCAGAUGGACCUGCGUUGUAUUAGCUAGUUGGUGAGGUAACGGCUCACCAAGGCGACGAUACAUAGCCGACCUGAGAGGGUGAUCGGCCACACUGGGACUGAGACACGGCCCAGACUCCUACGGGAGGCAGCAGUAGGGAAUCUUCGGCAAUGGACGGAAGUCUGACCGAGCAACGCCGCGUGAGUGAAGAAGGUUUUCGGAUCGUAAAGCUCUGUUGUAAGAGAAGAACGAGUGUGAGAGUGGAAAGUUCACACUGUGACGGAACUACCAGAAAGGCG